AAUCGAUACUUGGUGUGAAUUGCAGAAUCCCGUGAACCAUCGAGUCUUUGAACGCAAGUUGCGCCCCAAGCCUUAGGGCCGAGGGCACGCCUGCCUGGGUGUCACG
This 106-nucleotide ribosomal RNA is filed under the name Pimelea cornucopiae. Its description in RNAcentral is "Thecanthes cornucopiae partial 5.8S ribosomal RNA". It matches the Rfam family "5.8S ribosomal RNA", at positions 53 to 154 of the family's 154-position model. From Rfam's summary of the family: 5.8S ribosomal RNA (5.8S rRNA) is a component of the large subunit of the eukaryotic ribosome. The record is from RNAcentral. Lineage: Eukaryota; Viridiplantae; Streptophyta; Magnoliopsida; Malvales; Thymelaeaceae.